Molecule: ribosomal RNA, 460 nt
Filed under: uncultured bacterium
Lineage: Bacteria
Description: partial 16S ribosomal RNA
Rfam family: Bacterial small subunit ribosomal RNA
Source: RNAcentral
CCUACGGGUGGCAGCAGUGAGGAAUAUUGGUCAAUGGACGAGAGCCUGAACCAGCCAAGCCGCGUGAAGGAUGACUGUCCUCGGGGUUGUAAACCUCUUUUAUAUGGGAAUAAAUUGUGGCACGUGUGGGAUUUUGUAUGUACCAUAUGAAUAAGGAUCGGCUAACUCCGUGCCAGCAGCCGCGGUAAUACGGAGGAUCCGAGUGUUAUCCGGAUUUAGUGGGUGUUAAGGGAGCGUAGGUGGAUUGUUAAGUCAGUUGUGAAAGUUUGCGGCUCAACCGUGAAAUUGCAGUUGAAACUGGCAGGCUGGAGUGCAGUAGAGGUAGGCGGAAUUCGUGGUGUAGCGGUGAAAUGCUUAGAUAUCACGAAGAACUCCGAUUGCGAAGGCAGCUUGCUGGACUGCAACUGACGCUGAGGCUCGAAAGUGUGGGUAGCAAACAGGAUUAGAUACCCGAGUAGUC